This 76-nucleotide microRNA precursor is filed under the name Callithrix jacchus (white-tufted-ear marmoset). RNAcentral's name for it is "mir-320 microRNA precursor family". It matches the Rfam family "mir-320 microRNA precursor family". The record is from Rfam by way of RNAcentral. Lineage: Eukaryota; Metazoa; Chordata; Mammalia; Primates; Cebidae.
AAAGCAACGGGCCUUCUCUUCCCGUUUCUUCCCAAAGUCAGGAAAAGCUGGGUUGAAAGGGCGUUUAAAAAAAAAA